CUUUUCAGUUCUGUCUUCCUGAGGCUGCUGUUUCUGGGCAUGGCCAGGGGAUCUUCAGACUUUACAAACCAGUUGUGCAGAGCCAGGCAUUUCAAUAAGGAACAAAAUGCUGAGUAACAACAUGAAGUCAGAGUGUUGCUUGCCAAGAGCUGGGAGGCCUGGGUGGUUUCCCAAUCUUAAAGAAGCAGAAGGAUAUUAAAGUGAGCCUCCCAAAGGAAAACGUGGAUCUACUUACCAACGCAGAAAAUGAUACACACGGAUUCGAUUUAGGCACGCUACAUUCAAAUGACUUGGAAGAGCAGGUUCUCUGAGCCAGGAUACUAAAGUCCCUGUUUAGGAAAGAGCCACGUUGUAUGUUUACCCUACCACAAAGAUACAGUCAUGUGCCUGGGAAAGAUUGAUGCCAGCUCCAGAAAGGCAUCCGAAUGGUCUAAGUAAUGCCAUCCAUCUGUCAGUAAUAGAUUCAGAAAUGGGUAUGUGAUUCAAGUCUGGCCAAUGAGAUGUAUGCAGAAGAGUGCUGGGUAUUCUGGAAAAUUAUCCCUUGUCAUUCAGAGAUCCACAGGAAUCCAGCCUUUUGCUCCUUGAAUGGGAUAAGGAAGCACAUAAUCCCAGUUGCUCUUCCAGUCAUCCCAGACCCACAGCCCUGCUUUAGCCAUCCUAUAGCCAUCAUAUAUUCACAAGGGGAGAGCAACUGAGGACAACACUGUGGAUCCUUGUGACAUAACCAAGCCAGUGAACCAAUCAAUACAUUUAUUUAUUGUUUGAG
This 766-nucleotide long non-coding RNA is filed under the name Homo sapiens (human). RNAcentral describes it as "non-protein coding LINC01094:17". Lineage: Eukaryota; Metazoa; Chordata; Mammalia; Primates; Hominidae. The record is from RNAcentral.